UGUACAAACAGCGUAUUCCAUUAAAGUAGGUUUGUAAAUAAAAUAUCAGCCCCAGGCCGGAAAAAGGCAAGCUCGGAGGUAGAAGUAGCUUAGCAAUUCAUACAUAGAUGCAUUUCCAGCAAUGACACAGCAGUAUGUCUGAAAAAGGGUAGGGAUUCAUGCUACUACACAAAUGAAAUUACAUAAAAUAAACAGCUAAAUUUAAACCUGUCGGAUAUAGAUAAUUAUAGAGAUAUAUAGUAGUAUAUAUUCAUAUAUAUGAGAACUGAGUAACAAUCUCCACUAAUAUUUAGGAACCCACACGAUGUGAUCCUCAGGGAGGAAAUGGCAGACCGGAACUGUCCCUGGUUUCACCUUCAGCACCUGAAAAGCCAAGUGUUUUGGGUUCCACGCCGCCGUAUCCUUGUGACAAACGGCCACCGCUUUCACCUUGGUGCCGUCGUCCCCCACCAUCGCCACCUUGUA
RNAcentral lists this long non-coding RNA (465 nucleotides) under Olea europaea (common olive). RNAcentral's name for it is "long non-coding RNA (OEUR_LNC011238)". Lineage: Eukaryota; Viridiplantae; Streptophyta; Magnoliopsida; Lamiales; Oleaceae. The record is from RNAcentral.